UGGGGAAUAUUGGACAAUGGGCGCAAGCCUGAUCCAGCAAUGCCGCGUGUGUGAAGAAGGCCUUCGGGUUGUAAAGCACUUUUAUCUGGAGCGAAAUCUGCAGGGCUAAUACCCAUGCAGUCUGACGGUACCAGAGGAAUAAGCACCGGCUAACUUCGUGCCAGCAGCCGCGGUAAUACGUAGGGUGCAAGCGUUAAUCGGAAUUACUGGGCGUAAAGCGUGCGCAGGCGGUUUUGUAAGACAGAGGUGAAAUCCCCGGGCUCAACCUGGGAACUGCAGUGGAUACUGGGAAGCUAGAGUGCGGUAGAGGGUAGUGGAAUUCCCGGUGUAGCGGUGAAAUGCGUAGAGAUCGGGAGGAACACCAGUGGCGAAGGCGGCUACCUGGACCAGCACUGACACUGAGUCACGAAAGCGUGGGGAGCAAACA
RNAcentral lists this ribosomal RNA (427 nucleotides) under uncultured bacterium. RNAcentral's name for it is "bacterial SSU rRNA". It matches the Rfam family "Bacterial small subunit ribosomal RNA", at positions 355 to 774 of the family's 1533-position model. The record is from RNAcentral.